CGCAGCAACUGGAAGGUGUUGCUGCAGAGUGAAGAUGUUUCGGAUCGAGGGCCUUGCACCGAAGCUGGACCCUGAAGAAAUGAAACGGAAGAUGCGCGAGGAUGUGAUUUCCUCCGUACGGAACUUCCUCAUCUACGUAGCCCUGCUGCGAGUCACUCCAUUUAUCUUGAAGAAAUUGGAC
This is an RNA transcript of Octodon degus (degu), 181 nucleotides long. It is a transcript of the gene named mitochondrial import receptor subunit TOM5 homolog pseudogene, with no coding region annotated. The transcript has a single exon. Lineage: Eukaryota; Metazoa; Chordata; Mammalia; Rodentia; Octodontidae. The record is from RefSeq and is a predicted model, not a curated record.